CAUUAGGAUGUGGCACAAAAUUUCCUGUUCAAUGGCAUCGACGAGCUUGAAAGCAAAAGGUUUCUGAAUUACUUUCCGGAGUUUCGCUGCGAACAUGGUACAAUCAACACGAAACGUAGUAUGGCAGGAAAGUCUUACGAACAUCGACCUUGGGAUGAAAGAGGUGAAUUUAUUGGAGAUACUAUCAAAAGUUGAUGUGAUUAAGGGGGUUUCCCAUGUACAAAGUAGAAGAAUGGGCAGUAAACUGAAGUUUGAACUUGAGAGAUUUCUCAAUUUUGAUUUGUGUUCUUCUCCCUAUACUCAAACAAAUAAACACAAAGAAGGACGCUGAGCUAGAAACAGAGGCCAUGGUUCUGCUGUGACUUCAGUUUUCUGUUGUGUUGGCGCACUUGCUAUAAUGGGUUCUCUACAACAUAUUGACAAGGAUCUCCUUGUCUAGUGAUUAUGUGAGCGGCAAGUCAAAUCUGGAGGUCCUAGUGGUCGACCCGAGAAACUUCUUGAAUGUGGGUUCGAACUCCUAUUACAUACUCUAACCAAUUCUUGGCUUGGAAGUUAUUCAUACUCUCCCACUCACCAACUUCAUUGUGUUGCUUCAG
Long non-coding RNA from Cucumis melo (muskmelon), 596 nucleotides. RefSeq lists it as uncharacterized. The record is from RefSeq and is a predicted model, not a curated record. The transcript has 3 exons. NCBI's taxonomy places the organism in Eukaryota, Viridiplantae, Streptophyta, Magnoliopsida, Cucurbitales, Cucurbitaceae.